Pogona vitticeps (central bearded dragon) is the source of this 238-nucleotide non-coding RNA. The record is from RefSeq and is a predicted model, not a curated record. NCBI's taxonomy places the organism in Eukaryota, Metazoa, Chordata, Lepidosauria, Squamata, Agamidae.
AUAAGGAUGGGAUUGAUCAAAUGGAAGUGCCGCAUGCUGCAAUAUUGAAUGGGCUGUCUGAUCUGACCUUAAUGAGAAUGAGCACAUUUCAAUGAAGGAUUCCACAUGACCCUCACUGGAAUAUGAUUGGAAUGCAGCUGCAACACAGCCUUCCAUUGGGGCGGUGCAAUUGAAAAAUCAAAUUCACCUGAUCUGCAUAUCGAGAACCAAACACAGAAAUAGAUAGAGUAUACAGCUC